UACGUAGGUGGCAAGCGUUGUCCGGAUUUAUUGGGUUUAAAGGGUGCGUAGGCGGCCUUGUAAGUCAGUGCUGAAAUAUCCCGGCUUAACCGGGAGGGUGGCAUUGAUACUGCAGGGCUUGAGUAAAGUUGAGGUUGGCGGAAUUGACGGUGUAGCGGUGAAAUGCGCAGAUAUCAGGAGGAACACCGGUGGCGAAGGCGGAUCUCUGGGCCGAUACUGACGCUGAGGAGCGAAAGCGUGGGGAGCGAACAGG
RNAcentral lists this ribosomal RNA (253 nucleotides) under uncultured bacterium. RNAcentral describes it as "partial 16S ribosomal RNA". It matches the Rfam family "Bacterial small subunit ribosomal RNA", at positions 524 to 776 of the family's 1533-position model. The record is from RNAcentral.